AGAGUUUGAUCCUGGCUCAGAGCGAACGCUGGCGGCAGGCCUAACACAUGCAAGUCGAGCGCCGUAGCAAUACGGAGCGGCAGACGGGAGAGUAACACGUGGGAACGUGCCCUUCAGUUCGGAACAACCCAGGGAAACUUGGGCUAAUACCGGAUACGACCGUGGAGCGCAUGCUUCGUGGUGGAAAGCUCCGGCGGUGC
This 200-nucleotide ribosomal RNA is filed under the name uncultured bacterium. RNAcentral's name for it is "partial 16S ribosomal RNA". It matches the Rfam family "Bacterial small subunit ribosomal RNA", at positions 8 to 218 of the family's 1533-position model. The record is from RNAcentral.